Molecule: long non-coding RNA, 1186 nt
Organism: Felis catus (domestic cat)
Lineage: Eukaryota; Metazoa; Chordata; Mammalia; Carnivora; Felidae
Exons: 2
Source: RefSeq, a predicted model, not a curated record
GUGGAGAAAUGAGGACAGGAGCACCUCCGUAAAGCACAGAGCCUCACUUGUGGUUGCUGACUCAGUUGGUGUGGCUUUGAUAGAACCACUGCAAUUAAGCGCCGUGAUGAGCAAGGACUUGUUCGGCUCUUCAUAAGGAGGUUUUACAGUACCUUGAGGAAUUCCAGUGGACCAGAUCAUGUCAGGACCCCCGGUGGAGACUUUCUCUCAGAUGCUGAAGCCAAGCCAAGCAGAGCAGUGCAACAAGUAUUGGGGCAUUUCUAAAAAUCUGCCACCGCCUCCCCACAACCACCUCCAGGGACGAUAUUUUGAAGCUCAUGUUAAUUGUAUCCCUUAAAAUUCAUUUGGGGGGAAAAUACCUGAUAAACUGGGAAUCUUCAGGAAAUCUAUUCCUGAAACAAAAUGUCCCUUUCUUUCUCCCUUUCCUUACCUGGUCUAGAACUAGUCAGCCCCUUUUUACUGCACUAUUCUACUACAAAUAUUGUAACCUGGCUUCAUUUGGCUACAGCCCAAGCCUGGGAAGAAGCUGACCAUGUUCACAGCCUAGCUAAUCAUGCCAGUGUGUCCAAGCUUUAUGAGUGUCUGUCUGUCUUUUUUUCUCUAUAGGUCAAUAUAAAUUUAGAAUGAGAGAAAAAUACUUAAUUUUAAUUCUGAUAUUUAAAAGAACCCAGCUAUCACUGCUGUGUAUCUUGAUGAAAAUAAUAUGGUAAUCAUUUCUCAAGAUACAGAAGGAAAAGAAACACUCACAAUGAAAUACCACUAUACCCCACCAGCUUGACAAUACUAAGUGUUGGUGAAAAGUGGAGCAUUUGUAAUUUCCAUCAAAUGAAUGUCAUUUCAUUUGUAAUUUUCAUCAUUUCUGUGACACCAAGAUACAGAAAGAGGGACUGAUGGGUCGGGCUGGCCUGUUAUUCAGACCAACCUAGAGGCGUUAGAAACAUGAGGGCAGGAGGUGUGUUUGACAUCACAGGUGGGUGUGAAAACUGUCACAUCACUUAGGAAAAUAUGUGACAUCCACUGGCAGUGAUGAAAAUUACACUCCUCAUCUCCCCAACACUGAACACUGUCAAUCCCGUCAACCUGUAAUGCUGAAUAUGGACAUGCUCUUCAGUCAGGCAGUUUCACUCUUUGUUUACUCCCCAAACAAUCCCAUGCAGAUGUACAAUAAGACCUAUGUCAAAGAACA